ACCGCCCGUCACACCACUGGAAGCAAGCAACACCCGAAGCCGGUAGGCCUAACCCCUUGUGGGAGGGAGCCGUCGAAGGUGGGCUCGUGACUGGGGUG
This 98-nucleotide ribosomal RNA is filed under the name uncultured bacterium. RNAcentral describes it as "partial 16S ribosomal RNA". The record is from RNAcentral.